RNAcentral lists this ribosomal RNA (372 nucleotides) under uncultured bacterium. RNAcentral's name for it is "bacterial SSU rRNA". It matches the Rfam family "Bacterial small subunit ribosomal RNA", at positions 524 to 898 of the family's 1533-position model. The record is from RNAcentral.
UACGGAGGAUCCGAGCGUUAUCCGGAAUCAUUGGGUUUAAAGGGUCCGUAGGCGGGCCGUUAAGUCAGGGGUGAAAGUCUGCGGCUCAACCGUAGAACUGCCCUUGAUACUGGCGGCCUUGAGUUAUGGUGAAGUAGCCAGAAUAUGUGGUGUAGCGGUGAAAUGCAUAGAUAUCACAUGGAAUACCGAUUGCGAAGGCAGGCUACUAACCAUAUACUGACGCUGAUGGACGAAAGCGUGGGUAGCGAACAGGAUUAGAUACCCUGGUAGUCCACGCCGUAAACGAUGGAUACUAGCUGUCCGGCAGCAAUGCUGGGCGGCCAAGCGAAAGUGAUAAGUAUCCCACCUGGGGAGUACGUCCGCAAGGAUGAA